Molecule: long non-coding RNA, 165 nt
Organism: Sander lucioperca (pikeperch)
Lineage: Eukaryota; Metazoa; Chordata; Actinopteri; Perciformes; Percidae
Exons: 3
Source: RefSeq, a predicted model, not a curated record
UUCCGUUACAAAUCUGCGGGGAUCAAUCACAAACUGGCUUAUCCACCUGGCGCGCUAAUGGCAGGUUUAACACAAUGACGAUAGAGAAGCAACGGCAAGCAGCUUUUUGUUUACAUUCAACAUGGCGGUCACCGAAGUGCAGCAACCCUAAAGUACUCACCCAGA